GGGAUUGCCCUAGUAACGGCGAGUGAAGCGGCAACAGCUCAAAUUUGAAAUCUGGCGCAAGCCCGAGUUGUAAUUUGUAGAGGAUGCUUCUGGGUAGCGACCGGUCUAAGUUCCUUGGAACAGGACGUCAUAGAGGGUGAGAAUCCCGUAUGUGACCGGCCCGCACCCUUUACGUAGCUCCUUCGACGAGUCGAGUUGUUUGGGAAUGCAGCUCUAAAUGGGAGGUAAAUUUCUUCUAAAGCUAAAUACCGGCCAGAGACCGAUAGCGCACAAGUAGAGUGAUCGAAAGAUGAAAAGUACUUUGGAAAGAGAGUUAAAAAGCACGUGAAAUUGUUGAAAGGGAAGCGCCUGCAAUCAGACUUCGCGGCAGUGUUCCGCCGGUCUUCUGACCGGUUCAUUCUCUGUCGCGAGGCCAUCAUCGUCUCGGCCCGCYGGAUAAGACCUUGGGAAUGUAGCUCACCUUCGGGGGAGUGUUAUAGCUCAUGGUGAUGCAGCGAGGCUGGGGCGAGGUCCGCGCUUCGGCAAGGAUGAUGGCGUAAUGGUUGUCGGCGGCCCGUCUUGAAACACGGACCAAGGAGUCUAACAUCUAUGCGAGUGUUCGGGUGUCAAACCCCUACGCGUAAUGAAAGUGAACGGAGGUGGGAACCGCAAGGUGCACCAUCGACCGAUCCUGAUGUCCUCGGAUGGAUUUGAGUAAGAGCAUAGCUGUUGGGACCCGAAAGAUGGUGAACUAUGCCUGAAUAGGGUGAAGCCAGAGGAAACUCUGGUGGAGGCUCGCAGCGGUUCUGACGUGCAAAUCGAUCGUCAAAUUUGGGUAUAGGGGCG
This 825-nucleotide ribosomal RNA is filed under the name Sphaerulina patriniae. RNAcentral's name for it is "eukaryotic LSU rRNA". It matches the Rfam family "Eukaryotic large subunit ribosomal RNA", at positions 71 to 925 of the family's 3401-position model. Lineage: Eukaryota; Fungi; Ascomycota; Dothideomycetes; Mycosphaerellales; Mycosphaerellaceae. The record is from RNAcentral.